RNAcentral lists this ribosomal RNA (739 nucleotides) under uncultured Hydrogenophaga sp. RNAcentral's name for it is "bacterial SSU rRNA". It matches the Rfam family "Bacterial small subunit ribosomal RNA", at positions 62 to 793 of the family's 1533-position model. The record is from RNAcentral. Lineage: Bacteria; Pseudomonadati; Pseudomonadota; Betaproteobacteria; Burkholderiales; Comamonadaceae.
UCGAACGGCAGCAUAGGUGCUUGCACCUGUAUGGCGAGUGGCGAACGGGUGAGUAAUGCAUCGGAACGUGCCCAGUCGUGGGGGAUAACGCAGCGAAAGUUGUGCUAAUACCGCAUACGAUCUAUGGAUGAAAGCGGGGGACCUUCGGGCCUCGCGCGAUUGGAGCGGCCGAUGUUAGAUUAGGUAGUUGGUGGGGUAAAGGCUCACCAAGCCAACGAUCUAUAGCUGGUCUGAGAGGACGACCAGCCACACUGGAACUGAGACACGGUCCAGACUCCUACGGGAGGCAGCAGUGGGGAAUUUUGGACAAUGGGCGAAAGCCUGAUCCAGCAAUACCGCGUGCAGGAAGAAGGCCCUCGGGUUGUAAACUGCUUUUGUACGGAACGAAACGGCGCGCUCUAAUAAAGUGCGCUAAUGACGGUACCGUAAGAAUAAGCACCGGCUAACUACGUGCCAGCAGCCGCGGUAAUACGUAGGGUGCGAGCGUUAAUCGGAAUUACUGGGCGUAAAGCGUGCGCAGGCGGUUUUGUAAGACAGGCGUGAAAUCCCCGGGCUCAACCUGGGAAUUGCGCUUGUGACUGCAAGGCUAGAGUACGGUAGAGGGGGGUAGAAUUCCGCGUGUAGCAGUGAAAUGCGUAGAUAUGCGGAGGAACACCGAUGGCGAAGGCAGCCCCCUGGACCUGUACUGACGCUCAUGCACGAAAGCGUGGGGAGCAAACAGGAUUAGAUACCCUGGUAG